Molecule: small nucleolar RNA, 135 nt
Organism: Rattus norvegicus (Norway rat)
Lineage: Eukaryota; Metazoa; Chordata; Mammalia; Rodentia; Muridae
Product: small nucleolar RNA SNORA17
Source: Ensembl
CCUGCCCCUAGGGGUAUUGUAGGUGUGGCUGCUGUGUUACAUGUCACAUGUCAGUAGGUGGCCAAGAUGAGAGAGGCUAUGUCUAUGCUCAGUGUUCUGACCUAUGAACAUCUGAAUGAUUAGUAACCUAACAUU